Molecule: long non-coding RNA, 6229 nt
Organism: Oreochromis aureus
Lineage: Eukaryota; Metazoa; Chordata; Actinopteri; Cichliformes; Cichlidae
Exons: 4
Source: RefSeq, a predicted model, not a curated record
AUGAAAAUGACUUUCAUUUUCCUCAACACCUGAGCAGGGAGGCUGAUGACAUCCACUGACCGGCUACUGCACCUGGACUUCCACAGAACGAUCUAAAAGAGGCAGACUGGAAGCAGUGCAGAGGUGCACAAAGAGACGACCUUGAAGGGAAAUCAAGUCUAAAGAAGAGCUGAUCAUGGACUACGCUGAACGUAUCUUGUCGCUUACCACAACCAUCAAAAAGAUGGCUGACACUAUGAAGUCCAAUAAGGAGCGCUGCAGAAGGAUUGCAGAAAGAGUCCAAGCUGUGGAAAGGCUGGUUUUAACCAUCACACAGAGUGAUCCAAGCCAAAUCUCUGAUACUGUUGAUGGAGCUCUGAGGGAACUCUACGUCAUCUUGAACUCUGCCAAGGAUCUGAUAGCAAAAUUCUCUCAAACCAAGUCUGUUAAGACCUUCUUCAAGGCUGGAAACAUUGAAGAAAAGUUCAGCGAGGUGAACCAAAGGCUCACAGAGAACUUCCAGGUCCUUUCUGGUGCUCUGCAGAUUGAGCACACCAACAUGCUGCAAAAGGUGUAUGAAGCUGUUUCAAGACAAAGUACUGAGGAAGAGGUUUGCAGUAUGAUGGCUAAUACUAGUCUCACACCCCUGAUGCUUCCCUCUUCUUCAGUGUCAAGUCCCACAGAUUCUAUAUUUCCCCCUUGUCCAGUGUCACGCCCCGUAUAUCCUGAGUUUCCUCCCACACCUGUGUCCAGUCCUACAGCUUCUGUGCUUCCGCCUCUUCCAGUGUCCAGUCCUAUAGGUUUUAUACUUCCACCUGCCCCAUUGUCCAGUCCUACAGCUUCUAUGAGUCUGCCUGCUCCAUUGUCAGGGUCUCUAUAUGGGUGGCUGUAGCUCAGAAGGUAGAGCAGGUCACCUACUGAUCUGAAGGUCGGUGGUUCGAUCCCUGGCUCCAGUCUGUAUGUCAAGUAUCUUUGGGUAUGAUACUAACCCCAACUUGCUCUCCGAUGCAUCCAUCGGAGUACGAAUGUCGUUAGAAAGCACUAAGUGUAGAUAAAGUGCACUUAGUGCAUGGGUGUGAUUGGGUGAAUGAGGCAUGUUGUAUAGCUUUGAGUACUCUGUGAGAGUAGAAAAGCGCUAUAUAAGAAUCAGUCCAUUUACCAUUUAUAUCCUCAGCUUCCUCCCACACCAGUGUCUAGCCCUACAAAUCUUAUACUUCCCUCCAUACCAGUGUCUGCAACUUUUGCAGCCAAGCCUCUCUACAAUACUACAACAUCUCACUUUAUAUUAUUAUAGCUAAGAUAUUAUAGCAUUCUUAGCUAUAAUUAUAGCUAUUAAAGCUAAGAAUGAAACUAAACAUAAGACUGCAGUCAAGGUCAGUUUGGGACCAUCUUGCAAUGGGUUCACAUCAACCACACCAUGAGUGAGGCCUUCAUUUUGAUGUUAGCUACACAGUUAUGCUGAGUUUUGUGACUGUUUGGUCAUUUUAAUCUUUAAAGCGGACCCAUUAUCACUCAUUUGUAUUUGUCUGUGUUUCUCCUGAUUGGCUGCCCUUGUGAACAAAGUUGGUGCAGCUGGUGGGUGGGACUUCAAUUCAAUUCAAUUUUAUUCAUAUAGCGCCAAAUCACAACAAAAGUCACCUCAAGGCGCUUUAUAUUGUACAGUAGAUACAGAGAAAAACCCAACAAUCAUAUGACCCACUAUGAGCAAGCACUUUUGCAACAGUGGGAAGGAAAAACUCCCUUUUAACAGGAAGAAACCUCCGGCAGAACCAGGCUCAGGGAGGGGCGACCAUCUGCUGUGACCAGUUGGGAUGAGAGAAGGAAGGCAGGAUAAAGACUUCUGCCUGAUAUAACCUUAUUAGGGUUAUACCCUCUCACUGGUGUCACAUGUAGCAAAGAAUAGAAAAAACACCAUGUGAAGCAUCCUGAAGGCUGAGCUUUGUGCUCACAGAGAUUACUUGUACUUACCCAGAUCAUCAUUUGAAACUUCCGUAAAGUUUAAAAUGAGCAUCGACCAUCGAAACGCGAUAUAUAAGUGGUCACAUCUGACUGCAAAAAAACAAAUAUACAAGCAGCUAAAAUGCAAAUAUUGAGGCUCUAAGUGACAUCAUGGUGUGUCUUUACAUCUUUUAUAUACAGUCUGUGGUUACGACUUAAUAAGGCACUUUUAUGAUUUAAAAAAAUCCAGAAAGUCUAGCAGCUGAUAGAUAAUAAUAAAAAGAGUUGUGAGUACUUUGUUUUGGGAAAAUAUCUUCUUAGAUUUGGGGGGGGAUCACUUCUGUAUUCUCUCCUGGAAGGUCUUUAGCCUGUAGCAUAGUUAUGCUUGGUGACUGGGAAAUGAAUGUAUUUUACAGUCUUGGAAAAUUGUUUCGUGUAAGAAACUAGUGGAAGUAGCUUCUGUUGCUUUCUGUUGCAUUUCUUUUCAGUUUGAUAUAUUUUGCUUUAUUAUUCUUAAGUAAUUUACAACUUGUUUUGCUGGUGAACCUAUAAUAAAUCAUUUGUCCGUUCAUCCAAUCAAAUUCAAGCUGUCUGAGCGUUUUAUCUGAAGACUUUAUGGAUCAGCUGGCCAUCCUCUCACCUCUCAUCCAGUUACGGUUCUACUGCUUCUGCUGCCAAAAUAACAGCAACAUUCCAGUUUGCUAAAACACUAACACUGAGGCUUCAGAAUGAAUCAUAAACCUACAUUCAAUCAUUCAUUCAAGUUUAUAGCGACAGAAAGUUUGCACUAAAUAAAAAUACUGACUAAAUACGUUAAGCUCUCUGUUCUACAUGGAGUGAUUUUACAGUUAUCCUUAAGUGCAUCUCUUUUACUCCAUUCAGUGUACCUGCAUGAUGGUUAUGCACACCACUUACAGCUGUGAGAUUUCCUUUGCAAUGUUUUGCAAACAUCACAGGUAUUACUACUUUAGAAAAAUCACUGCAUGGCGGAUAACACAUAUUUUGGUGACCAUUUUCCUGAAACAUUUGUUACUCUGUGUUUAACAGACACAUCUUGGCCAAAUAGAAUGUGACUUGUUGGUAUUUCAGUGUGUUUUUGCUCUCACCUGGCUGGCUGUCAAAAAGUUGAUGAGAUGUUCUGAUCAGUGUUAAACAUAAUUUACUAUCAGCAAAAUCACAUAUGAAUAACUCACACAUGAAUUAUGGUUCUGUGUUCAACCAUCAAUAUCCCUUCCUUCAUUUAAAAUCAUGCAUCAUGAUGGUUUGGUGGCAGAGUUCUUAUCUUCUCACAUUCACGCUGUCACCCACUAAUCUACCAAGGUUGAAGUUGGAUCAUGCACACACACAAAAUUCAGACGUGAACAUUCGGUUUUUCUAGUGAAACUAGAUUUCUCAUUUAUAUACUGAUCAAAGAAUAAAUAAUAAAAAUGCUUUAUUAUUUUGAAAUAAGGAAAAGCUCUGUUUUCUUAAUCACAUAAGGCUGGAUGAGAGGAAUUUCUUUUUCUUUUGCAUAAGAACUUCAGAGAAAUAGAAAGUUGAGUCAGGAAACGUCUGUAAGACGAGGGCAGUAUCCUGUUUGCACAUGCAGAGAGUGAAUGAUGCAAAAACAGUGAGGUGCGUCAGUGAUGAUAUGAGGCUAUGAGCUUUCAGUGUCAUUCAAAGCUGUCAAAAACGUCAGUGUACACCCACACCAAGUAUUUGAAACUCCGAUGUUGCCUGACCGAAAAGUCACAGCAAAUCAACAUAUACUUUCUGUAAUUUUUUAAAAAGCACACAUCUUAUAACAUUUCAGUUUGGAUAUUAACUGUAAUUGUUUCUAAAUAGUAUGGAGUUAGGUUCAUAAGUAUUUGGACAGCUUUGUAGUUUUGCUUCUGUAUACCACCACAGUGGAUUCUAAACUAAGCCAUCAAGAUGUGUUUUUUUAUAUAUAUACUGUAUAUAUGAUGUAUAGAAGGGCUAUUGAAAUCUGAGACAAUAUUUUAAGACAGGAAUGAAGGUUACAUCUACGUUUCUCCUCUCUAAAUGAUCCGUAAUGUAACAAUAAGGACUACUUGUUUUAGCAAAAUCGAGUGGUAGUUAAAACCUAGACACUAAUGUUCACAAGUCUGAAUAUUGUGUGUGUGCAUGAUCCAACUUCAACCUUGGUAGAUUAGUGGGUGAGAAGAUAAGAUCAGUUCUGGCCUCCUGCUGGACAGAAGAACAAAUCAAAAUCAGCUGAUUCCAGUUUCCAAAUAAACUGCUGACAGAACAGAAACACAUUUGCUCUGACAGAAAGAGAAAACCUGAGUGAGGAUGUUGUGACUGGACGAACAAACCAGCUAAAUAAAUCAUUGAUGUACUCAAAACUGUGUGUGUGUUUGUGUCACAGUGAAAGUGGAGAGCUUCUGUACAUUGGAUGUGCAGCUGAAGUCAAAAGGUCAAAUUUCAUGUCAAAAAACUCUCAUUGUCUCAGUCUUUUGCCUUCUCUGGGAUCUUAAUGAUGUCACAGAGAAACGGUAUCGGUGAUAUCCACAAUGCCACAGACACAGAAGCCCCCCAACUAGUUAUUUAACCCUCUGUUUAUAAUAGGCAACCAAUGAGAAGAAUGUUGCUUUAAGGAGGGGAGGAGCUAAAACAUGUCAGCUCAGCUAGGUGAUGGACUGAGCAGCAAUAGAAAUACAGACCUGGAAAUGAGCAGAAUAACCCCAACUCCAAUAUUUUUAGCUGUAAACGUAUAACCUACACCUGACAGAUGAAACAUACCAAGAAAUGCUCUGUAAAACAGGUCCUGAUUACCAAGUGAAGAACUUGGACGUGAGGUGGGACUCUGGAAAAGCAAAGUCAGCAGUGGCUCGUAUUGAAGUUUGCGGCAGGAGAUGAGCUGACCCUCCAGCUCACUUUCAAGUGUCGCCUUGUUAAGGAUGGACUGACAGAACUCUGGCAUGUUGACUUUGCAGGCCUUUGUCAGCACGAGGUUCAAGUCUAGAAAGUAACAAACACAUAUAAAAGUGUAUUUUUUUUGUGUGUGUGUGUACCCCUGCCAUCUGUCCAUGCUGUUUAUUUGUGCCCUUGGUCUCUCCCUAUUCUUUUCAUUGUCUAGUUUUUUUUUAGUGGGUUUGUCAUUCCUUUUGUUUAUGAGGAUCAUUUGUGUUUAAGCUUCGUUUCGUUUGUAAUGUAGGUCGUAUUGUUUCUAUUUAUCCUGAUGUCAUUUGUUAUGUCCUCCACCACUCUCUGUUUGUCUUUUGCCUUCCAAGUCCUGCUUCUUAGGUUAUGUUUGGCUAUGGCCUCUGUGUGUCUUGUGACACUAAAUACUACAUAGACAAGAGUCUAUGUAGUAUUUAGUUAAUCUCUUUUUAUAUUCCUAUUCUGUUCCUCCAGUCUUGUCAUUAUCUGUUUGUCUCGCUUGUUACUGUGUUUAGUUGUAUCAUGUUAAUGUUUCCCCGUGCAGUUAUGUCUGUCUUCAUGUUUUAUUUUGGUAAUUGCUUUCUUUUCAUCAUAUGUUAAGUUUUAAUUCCUCCCAACUGUCCUCAGUUGUUCCCACAUUACCUCUCCCCUUGCUAUCCUGUGUGUGUGUGUGUGUGUGUGUGUCUUUGUCCUUUUUGUUACAUUGUUCCUGUCACGGACCCGGUUCCUGGGACUCGGGGUCCGUGAGCAGUGUGGACCGUUGUUGUUGUUAUUAUUAUUAUUAUUGUAUUGGAUGUAUGUUUUCUGCACUGUGCUCUUGUGUUCCAUGCUGGUGGGUGUAUAUGUGUGCGGGUGUGUCUGCGGGUGUGGCUGGAGGAUGAAGGACAGCCAUCUGCAGGCCUUAUGGGUGUGGCCCCGCCAGCUCCCGGUCACGCCCAGGUUCUCACACACCUGCUUCUGAUCAGGCUCGUCAGGGGAGCUACAUAACAGAGCGAUGGGGCUUCCUCUGGCGUAGGAUCGUUGAGUUAGACUCCAUGAGGAGAGCGGAACACAGGACUGCAGGACGCACAGGGGUGUGCGUAGGCACAGGGGCAGAGAGCACAGGAUACCAGCACUUAGGGGAAGACACGUCACGGGAGUCAAGGGAGCGCUCUGGAGAUCUAUGGUGUGGUGUACAUUUACCUCACUGUAAAUAAAUGCACUGCUCAUUCCACUAAGUCCAGCGUUUGGGUCCUAUCUCCAACAUUCCCCACGGUCUGCCUGCCAGACCGUGACAGUUCCUCAUGUUUUGAACUCUCUCUGUGUUUCCUACUGUGUAUAUCAGUCUCACAUCAUAAAACAUGAUGAGUGAUACAGUAAUGCACUUUAGUAUUUUGGAUAUCUGAAGUAUGUUAGCGUCAUACUAGAUCUUUUUCUGUUCCUUUCUUUA